Molecule: transfer RNA, 66 nt
Filed under: Coleoptera sp. 12 KM-2017
Lineage: Eukaryota; Metazoa; Arthropoda; Insecta; Coleoptera
Description: tRNA-Thr
Source: RNAcentral
GUUUUUAUAGUUUAAAAAAAAAAUUUUGAUCUUGUAAAUCAAAGACAAGAAUAUUCUUUAAAAACU